This 324-nucleotide unclassified non-coding RNA is filed under the name Hevea brasiliensis (rubber tree). Lineage: Eukaryota; Viridiplantae; Streptophyta; Magnoliopsida; Malpighiales; Euphorbiaceae. The record is from RNAcentral.
GUAGAUUUUCUUUAUAUUGUUUUAGAUUUCAGAUUGAACACUUCAAUUUUCUAUAUGGGGGCAAUACUUUAGUGGUAUUUGUGUGGAUUUGGAUUUUGUAGAAUUAAUAUCUUGUAGACCAAAUUAUAGUUUAUGAAAAUGACCUGCAUUAGAAAAAUGGAAGUAGUUUGCAAUUGGAAACCUAGGAGGAGUAGCUGCCUAUUGGUGUGUAGCAUGAAAAUGGAAACGCGGAUACUGAGAAAUGCUGAAAUGGACAUGUGGAAAUGGUGUUUUAAAAAAUAUAGAAACGGAAAUGUGGGGGAAAUGCGUAAAUAUAAAAAAUAU